RNAcentral lists this ribosomal RNA (472 nucleotides) under uncultured Acaulospora. RNAcentral describes it as "SSU rRNA". It matches the Rfam family "Eukaryotic small subunit ribosomal RNA", at positions 569 to 1044 of the family's 1831-position model. The record is from RNAcentral. Lineage: Eukaryota; Fungi; Glomeromycota; Glomeromycetes; Diversisporales; Acaulosporaceae.
AGCAGCCGCGGUAAUUCCAGCUCCAAUAGCGUAUAUUAAAGUUGUUGCAGUUAAAAAGCUCGUAGUUGAAUUUCGGGGUCUGUCCGUCGGUCGGGCUUCACGGUCCGUACUGGUGUGAUGGGUUCCUACCUUCUGAAUAACCGGCAUGCCAUUCAGUUGGUGCGCCGGGGAAGCAGAGCUAUUACCUUGAAAAAUUAGAGUGCUUAAAGCAGGCUAGUGCUUGAAUAGAUUAGCAUGGAAUAAUAAAAUAGGACGGCAUGGUUCUAUUUUGUUGGUUUCUAGGAUCACCGUAAUGAUUAAUAGGGAUAGUUGGGGGCAUUAGUAUUCAAUUGUCAGAGGUGAAAUUCUUGGAUUUAUUGAAGACUAACUUCUGCGAAAGCAUUUGCCAAGGAUGUUUUCAUUAAUCAAGAACGAAAGUUAGGGGAUCGAAGACGAUCAGAUACCGUCGUAGUCUUAACCAUAAACUAUGCCG